ACCUUGUCCUCCUGAGCCUAGUUGUCCUCCACCAAAUUCACCGCAUCCAUUUUGUCCUGGACCGUGUAUAUACCAAAAUAGAAUUUUAGAUGGCAUAACGUGUAGAGUCAACUGUUUUCGUGGACUUCAACCACCCCCUGGUAGACCAGGCGAUCCGUGUCCACCAACGGGGUGUCCAGGCAAACCAACUGGAACAGCAGUUCAACAAGAUUUCCCCCGAAAUCCUCCAGGAACACCCCCGGGAAAAAGCCGUUGUCCAGUUGAUUCAGGUUCUAAUGCCAAAUGUUAUGGACAUUACCACAGAUACUGUAAGGAUGAUUCAUCGUGCCCUAAAAGGACAAAGUGUUGUAAGCAGGGAUGCUCCUACAAAUGUGUAGAUGCUGUUUAACUUUCAUUGAUUAUAUCUUUUAAA
This is a long non-coding RNA of Mytilus californianus (California mussel), 412 nucleotides long. RefSeq lists it as uncharacterized. The transcript is spliced from 3 exons. The record is from RefSeq and is a predicted model, not a curated record. NCBI's taxonomy places the organism in Eukaryota, Metazoa, Mollusca, Bivalvia, Mytilida, Mytilidae.